Long non-coding RNA from Bradysia coprophila, 80 nucleotides. Lineage: Eukaryota; Metazoa; Arthropoda; Insecta; Diptera; Sciaridae. The record is from RefSeq and is a predicted model, not a curated record.
GAUUUGACAAUUUCCCAACAUAAAGGAGUUGGAAAUUUCAUUCGUUGAACCUUCGCUCGACCAAACAUUCCGACAAUCGU